This 162-nucleotide ribosomal RNA is filed under the name Medicosma fareana. RNAcentral's name for it is "5.8S ribosomal RNA". It matches the Rfam family "5.8S ribosomal RNA". From Rfam's summary of the family: 5.8S ribosomal RNA (5.8S rRNA) is a component of the large subunit of the eukaryotic ribosome. It is transcribed by RNA polymerase I as part of the 45S precursor that also contains 18S and 28S rRNA. The record is from RNAcentral. Lineage: Eukaryota; Viridiplantae; Streptophyta; Magnoliopsida; Sapindales; Rutaceae.
UAAUGACUCUCGGCAACGGAUAUCUCGGCUCUUGCAUCGAUGAAGAACGUAGCGAAAUGCGAUACUUGGUGUGAAUUGCAGAAUCCCGUGAACCAUCGAGUCUUUGAACGCAAGUUGCGCCCCAAGCUGUUAGGCUGAGGGCACGUCUGCCUGGGUGUCACG